AUGCGGAGGGUGCAAGCGUUGUCCGGAUUUAUUGGGUUUAAAGGGUGCGUAGGUGGCGUGUUAAGUCAGUGGUGAAAGCCUGCAGCUCAACUGUAGAGGUGCCAUUGAUACUGACAUGCUUGAGUAUGGACGAGGUAGGCGGAAUUUGUGGUGUAGCGGUGAAAUGCAUAGAUACCACAAAGAACACCGAUAGCGAAGGCAGCUUACUGGACCAUAACUGACACUGAGGCACGAAAGUGUGGGGAGCGAUCCGGAUUAGAUACCCGAGUAGUCC
Molecule: ribosomal RNA, 274 nt
Filed under: uncultured bacterium
Lineage: Bacteria
Description: partial 16S ribosomal RNA
Rfam family: Bacterial small subunit ribosomal RNA
Source: RNAcentral